CCUACGGGUGGCAGCAGUGGGGAAUAUUGGACAAUGGGGGGAACCCUGAUCCAGCGACGCCGCGUGAGUGAAGAAGUAUUUCGGUAUGUAAAGCUCUAUUAGCAGGGAAGAAAGAAAUGACGGUACCUGACUAAGAAGCCCCGGCUAACUACGUGCCAGCAGCCGCGGUAAUACGUAGGGGGCAAGCGUUAUCCGGAUUUACUGGGUGUAAAGGGAGCGUAGGCGGUUACGCAAGUCUGGAGUGAAAGGCAGGGGCCCAACCCCCGGACUGCUUUGGAAACUGUAUAACUGGAGUGCAGGAGAGGUAAGUGGAAUUCCUAGUGUAGCGGUGAAAUGCGUAGAUAUUAGGAGGAACACCAGUGGCGAAGGCGGGUUGCUAGACUGUAACUGACACUGAGGCACGAAAGCGUGGGGAGCAAACAGGAUUAGAUACCCUUGUAGUC
RNAcentral lists this ribosomal RNA (443 nucleotides) under uncultured bacterium. RNAcentral describes it as "partial 16S ribosomal RNA". It matches the Rfam family "Bacterial small subunit ribosomal RNA", at positions 338 to 795 of the family's 1533-position model. The record is from RNAcentral.